CGGGCCCGCGUACUGGGUCUUCGUUUUCCCGAAAUCCGCGGCGUCCUCCUCUCGCGGGCGUGCUGUUGCAAUCUCCUCGUGGGAUCCGUGAGCUGGACCGGGUCCGCCGCGUCGUGGGGAUAAGACCUUGGACUCUCCGCAGUUUCUUCCCUGCGAGACCCAUGUGCAGAAGCUCUGCACCGCUCUAGCCGCCAGGUACCGAUAUCGCCGUCUGUGAGGGAGAGCCGAGUGACAUCGCCGCCAUGGGCUGUUCCCCGUUCAACCAGUCGACGUGCACCGCCCAACCCUGUCAUUGUGCAUGGGAGUGAGAGAGCUCUGUUGUUGCCGAGAGCUGGCGGCUACUCCAACCGCGUGCCGUCGGGAUCGGGCUUCGGGGAGAGAAAUCGAGGAGAGAGGGAUUAGGGGAAAGCUCUGGUCUUCAUCAUCCGCUAACGUGCGCGAGGACACGUGUCAUCUGAAAAGCAAGUUGGUACCUGGAAUCUCAAGUGCCAGGCAAGUUGUGCCCUUGAUCACUUACUUUUUCCCAGCCAUGUUCUUAUUAAUUAUAAUGAUCUGCAUAGGUUAAUUUUGAUGGGACCUAAUAGGUUACCCUAGUUUUGGCUAUCUUUAUACCUUGUUUACCACUGAAAUAUUUCUUUGGGUAGUACCUGCUAUUGCUUUAUGUGGAUUUGGGUAUGAAGAUACUUUAUUCAUAAUUACUCUUUUAUUCUCUUUUAUUAUUACUGUUCAUGUUAAGAUCAUUAUGUUAAUGGGAACAUGGAGCGACCACCCGGGAAAACAGUGCUACCACAAGGGUAUAAUGGGACGCCCUUGGCUGAUUAACUAGGAAAGUUAGUGGAGGUCUUCCUUACCCGAAAGGGGCAAGGGCAGUAGGGGAGUGGUCAGUGUAGGGAGGUCCUUGGUUGAUUUUGCUGCGAUGGCGGUCAGGCAAGAACCCUGCAUUGGAGCUUCCUAUAAACUGUAGCGGGAUUUCUGAAGCUAGUGGAACUUUGUAAAGGCCUCGUAGUGUUACCCUGCCUCGCCUCCUCGGUAGAGGUGUAUGGGAUUGGCCAUCUCUUGGCAGAUGGGUAACAUGACUUGUGGGUAAAGAUGUGCAACCUCUGCAGAGUGUAAAACUGGUAUACUAGCCGUGCUCACGGUCAUGAGCGGCUCGGACCCUCACAUGAUUAAUUUAUGGAACUUAAAUUUAAUUGGACAUUUGCAUCGCAUUUGAGAUUAUUUUACUAUUAUUUUUCUUUAUUAUUAUUAAGGUUUGGUAUUUACUUACACUUAGUAAUUGCUAAUAAAAGUUUGACCAACUUAUAAAAGCAAUGCUAAGCUUCAGCCUUUAUUCCAUUGAUCAGCCUUACACUUCAUGAACUCCCACCUUUGGUGAGUUCAUGCCACAUUAUUCCCCACGACUUGUUGAGCGAUGAACGUAUGUGAGCUCACUCUUGCUGUCUCACACCCCCCACAGGAGAAGAACAGGUGGUUCAGGAGGAGCCACAAGGCGAGGAGUAUGAUCUGAUCUAGGUGGCGUUUCUCAGUCGACAUUGGCACCGACGAUCCUUAGUUCGUUUUACAUUUAUUCCUUUAUUUUGUAAUAAGUCUUCCGCUAUGUAAUAAGUACUCUGAUGUUUUGUGACAUUUAUCUCUAUACACUCUGUUAUUAUAUAUGUUGUCUUCUUUGGCGCAUGUAUGAGAUGCACCCGGCUUUGUCCUUUAAAACCGGGUGUGACAAUAUGUUAAUCAAGAUACAUUACGCGAGGCUAGGAGCCAGAAAAGGAAGGCUACUAGUCCAACACCUCAGGAGGAGGAGUUAGACCAAGAAAUCAACAGGUUCAGAGGAAGAAGGAAAAGAUGCUUUGUCUCACCGAUGUUCAGAAGAAGAUUGAUGAGGCCGCUAAGGAAAUGCGUCAUAUCACCCAAGAUGACCAAGACCGAAGGCCUCAAUACAGAGAGCUUCGUCAAGACAAUUCGUACAACGAUUACAACGAUGAUGAAUGGUAUGAUGAUUUCCAUCAUGGUAAUUUUGCUUUUGACGAUGCUUCUCCUCUAGCAGCAGAGUUGCAGCCUACCCCAUGGCUCCCAUCAUACAAGCCACCUCAGCUUCCUAUGUAUGAUGGGCACUCAGACCCAAAGCAGAUCCUAAUGAGCUACGAGGCAACCAUAUCUUCAUAUGGGGGCAAUACUGCAGUCAUGGCGAAAUCCUUCAUCAUGGCAGUCAAAAGUGUAGCUCAAACUUGGUAUUCGUCCCUCAGGCCAGGAACAAUCACAUGAUGGCAGAAGCUCAAGGAUAUGCUAAUCACUAGCUUCCAAGGCUUUCAGACGAAGCCAGUCACUGCUCAGGCUUUGUUUCAGUGCACGCAGGACCAUGAGAAGUACCUUCAGGCGUAUGUCCGAAGGUUCCUACGUCUAAGAGCACAAGCACUUAUAGUGCCCAAUGAAAUUGUCAUUGAGGCCAUGAUCAAGGGGCUUCGGCCAGGACCUAUGACUCAAUAUUUUGCCAGGAAACCCCCACAAACCCUGGAGAAGCUUCUUCAGAAGAUGGAUGAGUACAUCCGGGCUGAUAAUGAUUUCCGCCAAAGAAGGGAAGAAGCAUACAGGUUUUCUGAGAUGACGAGGGGCUUCGGAGGAAGAAUCCACCCCAGACAUGUUAGAUCAAUCCUGAAUUCCAACCCAUGUGAUGACAGAGGAAGUCAACCUCAAAGGCAGCAACACAGCUCCCAGUCUUUAGGGCCACAACAAAGCUUCUUCAGGCCACCAGCCACAAGGGGCAAAGGCAGCAGGGGCUUCGGAGGAAGAUACGGAGAUUAGCCUAGAAGACUGUACUGUUUAUUCUGUGGUGAAGUCAAGGGCCACACCACAAGAACUUGUCAAGUCACAAUUCAGAAGCAAAAGGAGAUUGCCAAAGCUGAAGCACGGCAGAAUCAGCCGAAGCAAGUCCUACAUACUGCCUCAUGCUAUUCUUCCUAUGUCCUAGAAUAUGUAGGUAAUCAGCAGCCUACGGCCUCUGUUGCUUCGGCAAGCCAUUCUCCAGCUUCCUAGGCUCAGCUCCCACCACCACUGCUGCUAUGACCUACUUUGACCCGAAGUCAACAGCCAGAAGGGGACCAGCACGCUCAACAACAGCGUGACUUCUGAGAGGAGUCCGAAGCUCGUACAGUUAACAACAUUGUGCCAGAAUCUAAGCAUAUCUACUGAAGAAUAUCCUACUCUUGAUGUACCUUUAUCUUUUAUGCCAUUUUAUUUUUUGUAUGAGAAACAAGUAACGAAGGACUAAAUUUCAAUUUCAUGUAAUAAUUGUGCCUGCAUCAAUGAGUAAAAUACGCCUGCUUAACAGA
Molecule: long non-coding RNA, 3323 nt
Organism: Zea mays
Lineage: Eukaryota; Viridiplantae; Streptophyta; Magnoliopsida; Poales; Poaceae
Exons: 2
Source: RefSeq, a predicted model, not a curated record